RNAcentral lists this ribosomal RNA (497 nucleotides) under uncultured bacterium. RNAcentral's name for it is "partial 16S ribosomal RNA". It matches the Rfam family "Bacterial small subunit ribosomal RNA", at positions 28 to 507 of the family's 1533-position model. The record is from RNAcentral.
GACGAACGCUGGCGGCGUGCCCAAUACAUGCAAGUUGAGCGCUGAAGGUUGGUACUUGUACCAACUGGAUGAGCAGCGAACGGGUGAGUAACGCGUGGGGAAUCUGCCUUUGAGCGGGGGACAACAUUUGGAAACGAAUGCUAAUACCGCAUAAAAACUUUAAACACAAGUUUUAAGUUUGAAAGAUGCAAUUGCAUCACUCAAAGAUGAUCCCGCGUUGUAUUAGCUAGUUGGUGAGGUAAAGGCUCACCAAGGCGAUGAUACAUAGCCGACCUGAGAGGGUGAUCGGCCACAUUGGGACUGAGACACGGCCCAAACGCCUACGGGAGGCAGCAGUAGGGAAUCUUCGGCAAUGGACGAAAGUCUGACCGAGCAACGCCGCGGGAGUGAAGAAGGUUUUCGGAUCGUAAAACUCGGUUGGUAGAGAAGAACGUUGGUGAGAGUGGAAAGCUCAUCAAGUGACGGUAACUACCCAGAAAGGGACGGCUAACUACGUG